GACGAGCGCUGGCGGCGUGCCUAAUACAUGCAAGUAGAACGCACAGUUUAUACCGUAGCUUGCUACACCAUAGACUGUGAGUUGCGAACGGGUGAGUAACGCGUAGGUAACCUGCCUGGUAGCGGGGGAUAACUAUUGGAAACGAUAGCUAAUACCGCAUAAUAUUAAUUAUUGCAUGAUAAUUGAUUGAAAGAUGCAACUGCAUCACUACCAGAUGGACCUGCGUUGUAUUAGCUAGUAGGUGGGGUAACGGCUCACCUAGGCGACGAUACAUAGCCGACCUGAGAGGGUGAUCGGCCACACUGGGACUGAGACACGGCCCAGACUCCUACGGGAGGCAGCAGUAGGGAAUCUUCGGCAAUGGACGAAAGUCUGACCGAGCAACGCCGCGUGAGUGAAGAAGGUUUUCGGAUCGUAAAGCUCUGUUGUAAGAGAAGAACGGGUGUGAGAGUGGAAAGUUCACACUGUGACGGUAUCUUACCAGAAAGGGACGGCUAACUACGUG
Molecule: ribosomal RNA, 505 nt
Filed under: uncultured bacterium
Lineage: Bacteria
Description: partial 16S ribosomal RNA
Rfam family: Bacterial small subunit ribosomal RNA
Source: RNAcentral